GCAAAUAUGUCAUGUCCUUGGUACUUUUAACUUGAGUGACGAUGUAUUGUUUUUGUCUGUGCACUUCACUUAACGCAAGUUUUUUAAUUUUCUUUUUUGCUUGCCCUUUUCGUAUGAUUGUCUUUAUUUCAAUGGAUGAUAUUUUUUGUCUAACUAAUCUAUUUCAUUCUUUUGGAUACUUCUAUUUGAUGCAUUAUUGGUGUUUAUCGCCUUCUCCAUGUAUGAUGUUAAUUUUAGUGUUGUUAAUAUAUGAGAUGAUGAAUUAUUGUUACAUACUGAGAUAGGUGUUGGAGUUCUAUUCAUGCCUAUCAUUCAGGGCAGCGCAAAUUCGCCAAGGACUUCC
RNAcentral lists this long non-coding RNA (343 nucleotides) under Actinidia chinensis (golden kiwifruit). RNAcentral's name for it is "long non-coding RNA (ACHI_LNC003769)". Lineage: Eukaryota; Viridiplantae; Streptophyta; Magnoliopsida; Ericales; Actinidiaceae. The record is from RNAcentral.